GCCUCAGUAGCUCAGUUUGGUAGAGCACCUGAUUCGUAAUCAGGGGGUCGCAGGUUCGAAUCCUGUCUGGGGCA
This 74-nucleotide transfer RNA is filed under the name uncultured DHVE6 group euryarchaeote. RNAcentral's name for it is "tRNA-Thr". It matches the Rfam family "tRNA". From Rfam's summary of the family: Transfer RNA (tRNA) molecules are approximately 80 nucleotides in length. Their secondary structure includes four short double-helical elements and three loops (D, anti-codon, and T loops). Lineage: Archaea; Methanobacteriati; Methanobacteriota. The record is from RNAcentral.